RNAcentral lists this ribosomal RNA (246 nucleotides) under uncultured bacterium. RNAcentral's name for it is "partial small subunit ribosomal RNA". It matches the Rfam family "Bacterial small subunit ribosomal RNA", at positions 26 to 285 of the family's 1533-position model. The record is from RNAcentral.
AGAAUCAACGCUGGCGGCGUGCCUAACACAUGCAAGUCGAACGAGAAAGUGGAGCAAUCCAUGAGUAAAGUGGCGCACGGGUGAGUAACACGUGACUAACCUACCUUUUUAGUGGGGGAUAACCUAGGGAAACCUGGACUAAUACCGCAUAACACUUACGAGUCAAAGCAGCAAUGCGCUGGAAGAGGGGGUCGCGGCCGAUUAGCUAGUUGGCGGGGUAAUGGCCCACCAAGGCAGUGAUCGGUA